Molecule: long non-coding RNA, 2188 nt
Organism: Gasterosteus aculeatus aculeatus (three-spined stickleback)
Lineage: Eukaryota; Metazoa; Chordata; Actinopteri; Perciformes; Gasterosteidae
Source: Ensembl
AGGAGAGAGGGCUAGCGCAAAUUGUGGCACCGGCAACUCGCUGAGGCACUUCCUGUUGCAGGUUGCGGUGCCGCGGCGAAUCGUGGCAGCUGCCUCGAGUUUACGGCAACUGCCUCGCCUGUUGCCUCGGCUGAGUGAGGUACCUCGAGCGGUACCACGAAUUCAGGGACCGGUUCAUCGGUCGAGAGAGGUACCUCCAGCGGUACCUCGAGUUAAGGGAGUCUUGCCACGACCUAACGGAGGCAUGCAACGACAAAAGGGAGCGGUGCAUCGGCUGAUAGAGGUACCGGGAGUUUAAGGGAGAGGUGCCACGGCUGUUAACGUAGCGGGAGUUUAAGGGAGAGGUGCCACGGCUGUUAAGGGAGCCGGAGUUUAAGGGAGAGGUGCCACGGCUGUUAACGUAGCGGGAGUUUAAGGGAGAGGUGCCACGGCUGUUAAGGGAGCCGGAGUUUAAGGGAGAGGUGCCACGGCUGUUAACGUAGCGUUGCUAACCUCUGCUUUACACAGCUUCCUGUUUGACGUGAGCUGACAGCUGUCUGGUGCGCUCUCCCUCGGCCUGGACCUCGUUCUCUGCUCACUGGGCUUCACCGUUGCCGGCCAAACGCCCGUAUUCUUCUGUUUGUGUUUGUGUUCAUUAAAACACUUUACGUUCCCUUGCGUUUGGGUGGUCGCUUCUUCACAAGCACAACAGAUAUAGUCAAAAGGAAAUAAAUAUAAUUUAAAAAAUUUCAUUUUUCCUUUUACGGAACAUCCAUCAUGAAGGUACUGUCUGUUGCCUGAUCAUGAAACAAUAUAGAAUAAGGUUAAUACUUUAAUCCAGCAGCUUUUGUGCAAUCACUGGAUAUCUAAAAACAGUCAUGCACACAAUCUAGCUCAGGCAAAUUCUUUUGUCAACAAUUGUAGUCAACAUUAAUUUAAAUGAAAAUACUGGUAACUCCUAUUAUAUACCGACAUUCAAUUUUAGACACGUCUUGAUGGCACCCACCCAGUGUUAUUGUUUGUUCAUAUAAAUCACAUACCCAUUGAUUAGUUCUCAAAGUAGAGAUUGUAACCAGGGCGGCAAGUGAUCUUAGUCCAUAUUCGCUUAGCUGCACUAAAAUGGGAAGCCGUUGUAUCACUUACUGGCUUUUUAUUACUAAAACAAUAGAUAGAUAGAUAGAUACUUUAUUGAUCCCUCAAGAGGGAAAUGUUGGUAUCACAGCAGCAUGUACAGGGAAGAAAAUAGAAUAUAAAGAUAAAAAUAAUGUCACAUUAUAUACAAUAUAAUAAGAUAGAAAUAUUCAAUUAUUAAUUUAAAUAAACUCAAACAAAAGAAUAACCUUCCAAAAGAGACAAUAAUAAUAAUUUGUAAAAGAGGAAGAGGAAAGAGCAGCAACAUCACAGCAGUACAGGGUUAUUAUUGUCAUUAUUUAGCAUGGGAUGAUUUAUUGUGUUAUUGCACUGGGCAGGAAUAAUAAUAAUAGUUAAUAAUAGUUCAUAGUUAAUAAUAACUGUGAUGUUACUAGAUGUUACUGGUUACUGUUAAGGUAAAGAACUCCAUCACCCAGCAUUCCCUAGUCAGUGCUGAGGGACAUGCGCAGUGCGGAGCGCGACAGACCCCGGGUAGCAUUACAGCGGACUGUGCUAGUUGACAUUAAAAGUUCAUGAAACGUAUUUCACGCCUCGCCUGCUUCUUAUAAGAUUAAGCAAGGUACAACAAUAACUACCAACACUAGUACUUUUAAAGGCAGUAUUGUAUUAUCACAUAUUGGCAAAUUAUAAAACAAACAUAUAACAUAUUUGGGAAAUAAAACGGCAGCUGUCUGGCGCAAAGUCGAGGCAGCUGUCGUAAAAACGGCAACCGUCGAGGCACCACUGCGGCAAAGUCGCGGCAGCUGUCGUGAAGCCGCGUCAAUUGCCUCGAAGUCGUGGCAAGUGUCUCGACUUCGUGGCAACUGCCUCGUGAAAUCGUGGCAAGUGUCUCGAAGUCGUGGCAAGUGUCUCGACUUCGUGGCAACUGCCUCGUGAAAUCGUGCCAAGUGUCUCGACUUCGUGGCAAUUGCCACGAAUUCGUGGCAACUGCCUCGUGAAAUCGUGGCAAGUGCCGCAGUGUCGAGGCAGUUGCCACGAUUCACCGCGGCACCGCAACCUGCAACAGGAAGUGCCUCGGCGGGUUGCCAGUGCCACGAAUUGCGCUAGCUCUUACUGC